Molecule: ribosomal RNA, 492 nt
Filed under: uncultured bacterium
Lineage: Bacteria
Description: partial 16S ribosomal RNA
Rfam family: Bacterial small subunit ribosomal RNA
Source: RNAcentral
AGUGAACGCUGGCGGUAGGCCUAACACAUGCAAGUCGAACGGCAGCACAGUAAGAGCUUGCUCUUACGGGUGGCGAGUGGCGGACGGGUGAGGAAUACAUCGGAAUCUACUUUUUCGUGGGGGAUAACGUAGGGAAACUUACGCUAAUACCGCAUACGACCUACGGGUGAAAGCAGGGGAUCUUCGGACCUUGCGCGAUUCAAUGAGCCGAUGUCGGAUUAGCUAGUUGGCGGGGUAAAGGCCCACCAAGGCGACGAUCCGUAGCUGGUCUGAGAGGAUGAUCAGCCACACUGGAACUGAGACACGGUCCAGACUCCUACGGGAGGCAGCAGUGGGGAAUAUUGGACAAUGGGCGCAAGCCUGAUCCAGCCAUACCGCGUGGGUGAAGAAGGCCUUCGGGUUGUAAAGCCCUUUUGUUGGGAAGGAAAAGCAGCAGGUUAAUACCCCGCUGUUCUGACGGUACCCAAAGAAUAAGCACCGGCUAACUUCGUG